GAUGAACGCUGGCGGCAUGCCUAACACAUGCAAGUCGAACGGGAAGUCGUGUUUCUUGUGGCGGACGGGUGAGCAACGCGUAAGAACCUGCCCUGGGGAUGGGAACCACAGCUGGAAACGGUUGCUAAUACACCGUAGGCCGAGUAGCAGAUGAAGGAAUGCACCCGAGGGGGGGUUCGCGACUGAUUUGCUAGUUGGUGAGGCAAUAGCUUACCAAGGCGCUGAUCAGUGGAUGUUGGGAGAGGGAGACCGGCCACACUGAGACGGAGACCCGGCGCAGGGUACUACGGGCGACGGGAGUAGGGCAUACGCAGCAAUGCGGGGAAGGUUAACGGGGCAUUGGGGUGGUGAAGCACUGGGACUAGGGGUGAUGAAAUGCUUAUGCCAGAAAACACGUAAUGACGGUAUCUGAGGAAUAAGCAUCGGCUAACUCCGUG
This 437-nucleotide ribosomal RNA is filed under the name uncultured bacterium. Its description in RNAcentral is "partial 16S ribosomal RNA". It matches the Rfam family "Bacterial small subunit ribosomal RNA", at positions 28 to 507 of the family's 1533-position model. The record is from RNAcentral.